UUGGCUAUAGCCGAAGAUGAAAACUCCUUUGCAAGAACAGUGAACAGGAAACGUCUGGGUCUUAGAAAAGAAAAGCUCAGCCACUUCCGUCUCUACUGGCACGACGUUCUAAGUGGAAAAGACCCAACCUCCAUGCAAAUCGUUCCCCCUGUUUCGAACACUUCAAUGACUAGAUUCGGUGCGGUCCAAAUGAUCGACAACCCAUUAACGGAAACUGCAGAUAUCAAGUCCAAACUAUGGGGAAGAGCAGAGGGAUUGUAUGCAUCGGCUUCACAAGACGGAUCUGGGUUGUUAAUGGCGAUGAACUUCGCGUUUGUGAGUGGGAAGUACAAUGGAAGCUCCAUCACAAUAUUUGGAAGGAACCCAUUUUUGGAGAAAGUGAGAGAGAUGCCUGUGAUCGGUGGAAGUGGGUUGUUCAGAUUUGCGAGAGGGUAUGCGAAAGCUUCAACCGUUAAUAUUGAUUUCACAACAGGGGAUGCUGUCAUUGAAUAUAACAUUUACGUGCUUCAUUAUUGAAUUCUGCUCUUCUUUUUCUCUUUGUUGAAUUUUGAAUUUUGAAUAUUUGUUUUCAAUGUUAUAUUAUCUUUCAUUGUAUUUGAGUUCAUCUAUGUGUCGUGAAAAGGAUUAGAUAAAUUAACAAUGUUGUUUAUUACAAUGAUCUAUUCAACAAACUUUGUUGCAUGUCAAAGUAGUAAGAAGAAUAAAAGUUAGAUGAUAAUGAUAUAUACCAUCUUGAUGAUAACUAAAUCUAAAAAUUUAGAUGGUUUUUAAAACAUGAUUAGAAAUUAGAUAACAAACCAAGAACAUAAUGUGGAGUGUGCGUUGUGUAGGGGAAGACUUGAGUAGAGGCCGUGUGUAAGAGUCUAAAACAUAUUGAAAGCACCAAUGGACUUUUACACAAAACCCAAACUCAAUUAACCAAACAUUACUUCCAAUUCCAACAACCACAAUACAAUUUCAUGCCCCCACCCACACCAAAAUAGUAACAUUUGGUAAUUUGGUUUUCAAUACUAAAAGCACAAAAAACAAAAACAAAAGAAAGAAAAUGAGAAAUCAUAAUGAUGCUUUUGUUAGGUAUUUCAUGACACCCAUUGACCCACUCCAUUGAAAAAUUUUAAAAUUUGAAACAAAACCAUCAAUCAUAUCUGUCUUUAUAUAAUUGAAGUCAUGGAGAGCCUUUGGUUCACUAUCUGAAGUCUCAAACACAGAGUAACUUCAAAUUCUCCCAUUCCAUGGCUGGAAUCUCUCCCAUCUCCACCACCCACUUCCUCUUUCUCUCUUUCCUCCUCUUCUCUGCCGUAGCUUUGGCUGUAGCUGAAGAUCAAAAUUCCUUUGCAAGAACAGUGAACAGGAAACGGCUGGGUCUUAGAAAAGAGAAGCUCAGCCACUUCCGUUUCUACUGGCACG
RNAcentral lists this long non-coding RNA (1407 nucleotides) under Cucumis sativus (cucumber). RNAcentral describes it as "long non-coding RNA (CSAT_LNC001573)". The record is from RNAcentral. Lineage: Eukaryota; Viridiplantae; Streptophyta; Magnoliopsida; Cucurbitales; Cucurbitaceae.